This 14525-nucleotide long non-coding RNA is filed under the name Solanum lycopersicum (tomato). Its description in RNAcentral is "long non-coding RNA (SLYC_LNC000183)". The record is from RNAcentral. Lineage: Eukaryota; Viridiplantae; Streptophyta; Magnoliopsida; Solanales; Solanaceae.
CUGCGGGCAUGAAACGCAGUCCCCCGAGGAAAGGGGGUCAGUACGGACAAUGUACUGAGUAUGUAAAGCAUAAGGUAAAGAUGACAGGAUACCAAUAUGGCAAGUCGAAACAAAAUAUCACUACACAUGUACCCUUUUAAGUGUAAAUAAUGCAUAUCUUUAACAUAUAAGGUGCCCAGCUUCCCUAGUAAGGGGCUCGGAAAAAUAAUCAUCACGUCAUCUCCGUCAUUAUCAUCAUCAUAACCAUCCUCAUCACCAAUCAUAUAUAAUAUAUAUACCCGGCCCUCUAGUGAGGGACUCGGUGACAUAUGCAAGAAACUCCGCACGAAUAUUGACCGGCCCGGGACUCGGUGAAAUGAUAAAUGACUCUAUGCACGAGCAGAAUAUUAUGAGCAACCAUAUGCAAUUAAAAUCAUUUCUUAUAACUCAAUAGCACAAUCCACGUGAACCAGCAAGGAGUAUUACCAAAGAUUAACGUUUUAUCAAGAUUAUGAACCUUUAAUACGAUAUGGAAAUGUAAAAUCUCAAUGACUCUAAGAAGCACUACCAUAGAUAUGAGAAAUUAUCAUAGUCUUUGACAUAGCAGCUAUAUAGAGGAAUAAUUGUGGAAGCAAGAAUAUACGUCACCUAGAUGCUCUAGAGGGAAGUAUCAAACCUAUUCGUUAUUCGCUUAUUUUUACAAGUCAAGCCAAACAAAGAAAGAAGGGACAACGUUACAUACCGUAUAGUCGAGCCGCACGUCCAAUAUUUACUGCUCAAGCUAUUUAUCUAUAAGAAGAAACAAUCGUGCCGCAAUUAGAUAAACGUCGCGCUUUACUAUCUUGUAAGCUAGCUAAUAAUCUAACAAAAAUUCGGCAGCACUUCCCCUAUUUUCCUUACUUCGUCCCAAUCCGAUAACAACCCAAAUUAUCCACAGCAAUACCAAUAACACAUAUAACCCAACGAAUCAUAUUAAACAGCCCCCUCCCCAAAACAGUUCCGUCUCGGCAACCAUAGCAGCGAAGCAACGACACACCGAGCGAUAACUCGUUUUAUAAUUCGCAACACAUGUACCUUAUCGUAUUCAUCCUUUGGAGUAUAUACUCAUAAUCACAUUUAACAUAUCCAUAACGCCAAAACAGAAUUUUCCCGCAGUUUGCUUUAAUCAAAACAGCCCAAGCACCAACACGACACCACUAAUAAUCCGAUUAUGGUUUCCGUUCAUACUUAGCACAUUCAAUAACUAAAACAAACUUCCUAAGCUACUGGUCACGCCCCCUUCUUAAUAUUAAUGGAUAAUUAACAAGGUAUUCUAAAGAAUUAACACACCACGCAAGGAGAUUACUAACCAAAUUAUUUGCAGCUGCUGGCCAAGAGUUGCAGGGUUGGUUUCUCAAUUUCCAUGGCUGCCUAAGCCAAGUGGUGAAGAAGAUGAUAUGCAGCAAUGCAUUUCACCACUUUAUUUAGUAUGGAGUGGAUUUCUCCACCUCAUUUAAAAUAUGAAGUGGAGGCAGCCCCCCCCUCUACACGUGUCCACUAAGGCCAGCUCCAAAUCUGAUCCCUUUUUAAUUUUUGCCUUGAGUGGUGGGGCCCACUGGAUUAAAUUAAUCCUAAUCAGCCACUAAUUAAUCCCUCACUUAAAGUUAAUGGCACUUACAUUAGCUGAAUCAUACUUAAUAUCACAUUUGGAAUUAACAUCCUUGCCUAAUAUUUCUUUAAUCACUUGGAACUUAAAAUAAAAUCUCAUUCCCCAGACUUACGUCUACUAGAUCAUGACGCGCAUGACUUAUAAAAAAAUACGAGGCAUAACAUCCUUCCCCCCUUAGGAACAUUCGUCCUCGAAUGUUAAGUUAGUGUCUUACAAAAACAAAUUCCAACGAGGUCUCUCUAACAGUUAUACCUAUCAACCUGCAUUCCGUAACUUACAGAUGCCUCAUAGAGUCACAACUUACUACAUAAUCUCGUUUAUCAAUCAAUAUAGUCAAGCUAGGAGUUGAAUUACCUGCAGGUACGGGGAACAAGUAAGGAUACUUAUUCUUCAUUUCGUGUUCCGCUUCCCAAGUCAUCUCCUCCCUAUUAUUAUUUUGCCACAACACUUUCACGGAAGCCACAUCCUUAGUACGUAACCUUCUAACCUGGCGAUCAAGUAUAGCUUGGGGUUUCUCCUCAUAUGACAACUCCUCUCUGACCUGAACAUCAUCUAUGGGGAAUACUCUAGAAGGAUCACCAAUACAUUUACGUAGCAUCGAUACAUCGAUACUCUAGAGGGUGAAAUGAUGUGCUAAGGUUCACCUGUGUCCCCAAUCCCUUCUGAAAUGAUCUCCAAAAGUUGGCUGUAAAUUGAGCUCCUCUGUCUGAUAUAAUGGACAUGGGAACCCCAUGAAGUCUCAUUAUCUCCCUGACAUAUAACCUCGCAUAAUCUUUAGCCGAAUAAGUAGUCCUGACUGGAAGAAAAUUGGCCGAUUUCAUCAGCCUAUCUACAAUGACCUAUAUAGAGUCAUACUUCCGUUGAGUGCGAGGUAAGCCUGUAAUGAAGUCCAUAUUAAUCAUCUCCCAUUUCCAAGUCGGGAUCUCUAUCUCCUAUAAUAAUCCACCAGGCUUUUGAUGUUCGAUCUUGACUUGUUGACAAUUCGGGCACUGAGCAACAAACUCCACUAUGUCCUUUUUCAUGUCAUCCCACCAAUAUAAGCAUCUGAGGUCAUGAUACAUUUUUGUUGACCCUGGGUGAAUGGAAUAAUGGGCAGAGAGUGCCUCUCCCAUAACCUGCCGUCGUAGCCCCGCAAUAUCGGCUACACACAAUCUGCCUUCAUAUUGUAACACUCCGUCAGGUGUAACCUUAAAUGGGGUCUUUUUCUUUUGAAGAGCUGCAUCUCUAUGUUGUGCCAGAAUAGGGUCUUUGUAUUGGUGACUCUUUACCUCAUCUAUGAUUGAGGACUCAGCAAACUCUCUAAUAGAAACUCCACUAUCUUCUGAAUUAUCCAGACGGACUCCAAGGCUGGAUAGCCGCUGAAUCUCCCGAACCAUAUCCCUCCUUUCUGGUUGUACAUCUGCCAAGCUACCCAUGGACUUUCGGCUAAGAGCAUCUGCUACAACAUUCGCUUUCCCUGUAUGAUAUAAAAUAUCAACAUCAUAAUCCUUUAGCAACUCUAACCACCGCCUCUGUCGUAAGUUCAGCCCCUUCUGUUUAAAGAUAUAUUGGAGACUCUUAUGAUCUGUAUAGAUGUCCACAUGGACAACAUAUAAAUAAUGUCUCCAUAUCUUCAAGGCAUGAACCACGACCACUAACUCCAGAUCGUGAAUAGGAUAGUUCUUUCAUAGACUAUCGGGAGGCAUAGGCUAUAACUUUGCCAUGCUGCAUCAAUACACAUCCUAUCCAAACACCCGAAGCAUCACAAUAAAUAACAUAGCCGUCUGGUCCAUCCGGAAGAGUUAGGACUAGAGCUGUAGUCAAUUUGUCUUUCAAUAGCUGGAAGCUUCGCUCACAAGCACCAGUCCACUGGAACUUGGUUGCCUUUUGAGUUAUCCUUCUCAAAGGUGCUGAAAAUGAGGGAAACUUUUCUAUGAAUCUCCUGUAAUAUCCUGCUAACCCCAGAAAGCGGCGUACCUCAGUAGGUGUCGUAGAUCUGGGCCAAGUCUUUACCGCCUCAAUCUUCUGCGUGUCUACCCGAAUACCAUCAGCUCCAAUAAUAUGUCCCAAGAAUGCCACUAAAGUCAACCAUAACUCACACUUAGAAAAUUUAGCAUACAACUUCUGGUGCUGAAGCACCUUAAGUACCGUCCUUAAAUGGUCUGCAUGCUCCAGUUCUAAACGUGAAUAGAGCAGAAUAUCGUCUAUAAAUAUAAUAACAAACAUAUCAAGGAAUGGUUUAAAUACUCGAUUCAUUAAAUCCAUAAACACCGCUAGAGCAUUAGUAAGCCCAAAAGACAGCACUCUAAACUCAUAAUGCCCGUAUCGGGUCCGGAAUGCCGUCUUUGGAAUAUCUGCCUUCCUUACCCGCACCUGAUGAUAACCUGACCGCAAGUCUAUCUUUGAAAAACACUUUGCACCCUACAACUUGUCAAAUAGAUCGUCAAUCCUUGGGAGGGGAUACCUAUUCUUUAUUGUUACUUUGUUCAGCUGCCUAUAAUCAAUACACAUCCGCAGCGACCCACCUUCUUCCUCACAAAUAGUACCGGUGCUCCCCAAGGUGACAUACUAGGCGUGAUGAAGCCCUUUUCUAGCAAAUCCCUCAAUUGCUCUUUCAAUUCUUUCAACUCAGCAGGUGCCAUUCUAUAAGGAGGUAUAGAUAUAGGCUGGGUAUCUGGCAGUACAUCUAUAGUAAACUCUAUCUCUCGUUCUGGAGGAAGGCCUGGAAGUUCCUCGGGGAAUACAUCGGGAAAUUCAUUAACUACCGGGACUGAUUGAAGAGUCGUUGCAUCUGCCUUUAUGUCAUGCACCCGAAUCAGAUGGUAAAUAUAGCCUUUUCUAACCAUCUUCCUAGCCUUAAUGUAUGAAAUGAACUUACCUUUCGGCGAUAUUGUACUCCCCUUCCACUCUAUAAUCGGUUCCCCUGGAAAUUGAAAUUGAACUAUCUUUCCUCUGCAACCAACAUUAACAUAACAAGAAGCCAACCAAUCCAUGCCCAUGAUAAUAUCAAACUCAAUCAUAUUUAACUCUAUUAGAUCUGCUACGGUACGAUGACUAUAUAUAACUACUAAACAAUUCUUAUAUACUGGCGUAGCUAUGACAAAAUCUCCUACAGGUGUAGCUACCUCAAAUGGUUCUAUCAACUUAGACUCUAUUCUGAUCCUACUAGCAACAAAGGGAGAUAUAAAUGAUGAGGUUGAACCAGGGUCUAUCAAUGCGUACACACUUCGGGAGAAUAGUGAUAAUAUACAUGUGAUCACAUUAGGUGAAGCCUCCUGAUCCUACCUAUUAGUCAAAGCAUAUAUACGGUUCAAGAGACCGCUAGAAUUGGAAGCUCCAUCACGUCUUCUACCACGGCCUACUGGCACCUGAAUACCCUGCCCCGUAGAGCGCAUAGCCACAGAAGAAGAUGAACCAACAACGGACCCAGUAGGCUGUGUCAUACCACCUGCACUACCACUAAGGUGACACUCCCUCAUAGUUUGUCCCUGACGGCCGCAAGAACAACACGCACCUAUAGCCCAACGACAUUCCCCAUGAUUGGACUUACCACAACGAGAACACUGAGGCAAAGGUGGCCUCGACUGGCUCAAACCCCUGCCCAUCUGUGACCCUGACUCCCUAGAGCUCUGACCAGCUUCCGAAUAUCCCAUAUGAUCGAACCCCCUACCCAUGAAACGAGGGGUGCACUCUGUGCUGGCUGGGAAGAAAAUCUAACAUGCUGCUGAGACUGCCCGCUUCGAAACUCGUCAGGAUAAACUGCUGAUCUAGCCCUCUUAUGCUGGCCUCUAUUAUAAUCUCUAUCUGUCUGACGGGACCGGUGUCGAUCCUCUACCCCCUGUGCAUUCUGCACCCGAGCAAUGUCCAUACCUGGCUGAAGAGUCACUGGCAUACAACCGUCAAUCAGAUAACGAUCCAAUCCCAUCACAUAACGAUGUACCCUGUCUGCCAUAUCAGCCACAAUAGUAGACGCAUGCCUAGCUAAUGAAUCAAACUCGAAGCUAUACUCUCGAACGCUCCUGCCAUUUUGCUUUAAAUGCAAGAAUAUAUCGACUCUAGUUCGCUUUAUCUCAGGAGGCAGAAAGUGGCCCUGGAAAGCCUCCAAAAAUUCAUCCCAUGCCGCUGGAGGAGCAACCUCACCCCUAGAUAACUCCCAAGACUCAUACCAAUUAAUAGCUACAUCCGCAAACAAUACGUAUCCAACUCAACAGACUCGGUCUCCGAAGCCUUGAUUAUCCUCAAUGUACGCUGCAUCUAACGAAUAAACUCUUGCGGAUCAUCCUGGGGCCUUGACCCAAAGAAAUCUAGAGGAUUACAACUUAAGAAGUCACGAGCCCUUAAGCUAUCAGAUUGUCCGCAUGAUCAACUCCUAGUCCAUGCCUGCGAUCCUGACCUGCCACUAAUCUAGUCAGCAACUACACAGCAUCUCUCAUGGCCCUAUCCUCCGCCCCUGACGAGGAGCUGGAGGUUCGGGUGCUGGGGCCUCGGGGGCUGGUGGUGUCCCCCGAAAUGGAGCUGCUGUCACGACCCAACCCGAUGGGCCGUGACUAGUGCCCGUUUUGGACACCCACAUACAAACCUGCUAAGUAUAACCAACUGAAACUAAGACAAUAUGGAAUUUAAUCAAAUCAAGCAAACCCCAACGUCAUAUAUAUAUAAGAGGACCUGUCUCAUAAGGAGUCAUAACCAUUCGACCAUAACAGCAUACGCGAGCCGACAAGGCCACCACUACACAAUACACGAUGAUGUACGCAGCCGACAAGGCUGCCCCUGUACAAGCGGACAUCCCAAACAAACCAUGUCCAGACCAUUAUCCAAAACAUAUAUAUACAACCCACAUAAUGUCCACAGACCUCUAAGAGUACAUUAGUGAAACUCGACGGGAAAGGGCCCCACCAUACCCAUAGACGAGCAAAAGACUACACAAAAGUUAUGUACCAAAACGACUGGACUCCGGAACAGUGGAGCUCUCCCAAUCAGCAGAGUAGAUAUCCUAGGCGGGAGGAUCACCGAACUGUGCGUCUACACCUGCGGGCAUGAAAUGCAGCCCCCCAAGGAAAAGGGGGUCAGUACGGACAAUGUACUGAGUAUGUAAAGCAUAAGGUAAAGAUGACAGGAUACCAAUAUGGCAAGUCGAAACAAAAUAUCGCUACACAUAUACCCUUUUAAGUGAAAAUCAUGCAUAUGUUUAACAUUUAAGGUGCCCAGCUUCCCUAGUAAGGAGCUCGGCAAAAUAAUCAUCACGUCAUCUCCUUCAUCAUCAUCAUCAUAACCAUCCUCAUCACCAAUCAUAUAUAUAAUAUACAUACCCGGCCCUCUAGUGAGGAACUCGGUGACAUAUGCAAGAAACUCCGCACGAACAUUACCCGGCCCGGGACUCGGUGAAAUGAUAAAUGACUCUAUGCAUGAGCAGAAUAUUAUGAGCAACCAUAUGCAAUUAAAAUCAUUUCUUAUAACUCAAUAGAACAAUCAACGUGAACCAGCAAGGAGUAUUACCAAAGAUUAAUGUUUUAUUAUGAUUAUGAACCUUUAAUACGAUAUGGAAACGUAAAAUCUCAAUGACUCUAAGAAGCAUUACCAUAGAUAUUAGAGAUCAUCAUAGCCUUAGACAUAGCCGAUAUAUAGGGGAACAAUUGUGGAAGCAAGAAUAUACGUCACCUAGACGCUCUAGAGGUAAGUAUCAAAUCUGUCCGUUAUUCGCUUAUUUUUAAAAGUUAUGCCAAGCAAAGAAAGAAGGGACAGCGUUACAUACCGCAUAAUCGAGCCGCACGUCCAAUAUUUACUGCUCAAGCUAUUAAUCUAUAACAAGCAACAAUCGGGCCGCAAUUAGAUAAACAUCGUGCUUUACUUUCUUGUAAGCUAGCUAAUAAUCUAACGAAAAUUCGGCAGCACCUCCCCUAUUUUCCUUACUUCGUCCCAAUCCGACAACAAUCCAAAUUUUCCACAGCAAUACCAAUAACACAUAUAACCCAAAGAAUCAUAUUAAACAGCCCCCUCCCCAAAACAGUUCCGUCUCGGCAAACAUAGCAGCGAAGCAACGACACACCGAGCGAUAACUCGUUUUAUAAUUUGCUACACAUCUACCUUAUCGUAUUCAUCCUUUGGAGUAUAUACUCAUAAUCACAUUCAACAUAUACAUAAUGCCAAAACAGAAUUUUCCUGCAGUUUGCUUUAAUCAAAACAGCCCAAGCACCAACAUGACCACUAAUAAUCCGAUUAUGGUUUCCGUUCAUACCGAGCACAUUCAAUAACUAAAACAAACUUCCUAAGCUACUGGUCACGCCCCCUUCUUAAAAUUAAUGGAUAAUUAACAAGGGUAUUCUAAAGAAUUAACACACCAAACAAGGAGAUUACUAACCAAAUUAUUUGCAGCUGCUGGCCAAGAGUUGCAGCAAUGCAUUUCACCACUUUAUUUAGCAUGGAGUGGAUUUCUCCACCUCAUUUAAUAGUAUGAAGUGGAGGCAGCCCCCCUCUACACAUGUCCACUAAGGCCAGCCCACAAUCUGAUCCCUUUUUAAUUUUUGCCUUGAGUGGUGGGGCCCAGUGGAUUAAAUUAAUCCUAAUCAGCCACCAAUUAUGAGUGGUGGGGCCCAUUGGAUUAAAUCAAUCCAAAUUAGCCACUAAUUAAUCCCUCACUUAAAGUUAAUGGCACUUACAUUAGCCAACUCAUACUUAAUAUCACAUUUGGAAAUAACAUCCUUGCCUAAUAUUUCUUUACGUCUUCUAGAUCACGAUGCGCACUACGUAUAAAAAAAUAUGAGGCAUAACAUCCUUCCCCCUUAGGAACAUUCGUCCUUGAAUGUUAAGUUAGUGUCUUGCAAAAACAAUAUCCAGCGAGGUCUCUCUAAAAGUUAUACCUAUCAACCUGCAUUCCGUAACUUACAGAUGCCUCACAGCUACAUAAUCUCAUUAUCUAUCAAUAUAGUCAAGCUAGCAAUUGAAUUACCUGCAGGUACGGGGAACAAGUAAGGAUACUUAUUCUUCAUUUCGUCUUCCGCUUCCCAAGUCAUCUCCUCCCUAUUGUUAUUUUGCCACAACACUUUGACGGAAGCCACAUCCUUAGUACGUAACCUUCUAACCUGACGAUCAAGUAUAGCCACGGGUUUCUCCUCAUAUGACAACUACUCUGUUACCUGAAUAUCAUAUACAGGGAAUACUCUAGAAUGAUCACCAAUACAUUUAGGUAGCAUCGAUACAUGGAAGACUGGAUGUACCGCCUCCAAAUCAGAUGGUAGAUCCAAUUCAUAGGCAACCUUACCUAUCCUACGAAUAAUCUGAUAAGGCCCAAUGUAUCUCGGACUGAGCUUCCCCUUCCUGCCGAAUCUCAUCACACCCCUUAUGGGUGAUACCUUCAGAAAUACCUAGUCACCAAUCUGAAACUCCAAAUCUCGAUGCCGAUUAUCUGCAUAUGACUUCUGUCGACUCUAGGCUGCUAAUAAUCUUUCUUGAAUAAGCUUCACCUUGUCAACAGCUUGCUGAUUCACAUCCGGGCCUAUUAACUUAGUCUCGCCAACAUCAAACCAACCAAUAGGUGAUCUGCACUUCCUCCCAUAUAAGGCCUCGUACGGUGCCAUCUGGAUACUAGAAUGGUAGCUAUUAUUAUAGGCAAACUCAAUGAGCGGCAAGUGGUCAUCCCAGCUGCCUUUGAAGUCAAUAAUACAGGCCCACAACAUAUCUUCUAGUGUCUGAAUAGUACGCUCAGCCUGCCCAUCAGUCUGAGGGUGAAAUGCUGUGCUAAGGUUCACCUGUGUCCCCAAUCCCUUCUGAAACGAUCUCCAAAAGUUGGUUGUAAAUUGAGCUCCUCUGUCUGAUAUAAUGGACGUGGGAACCCCAUGAAGUCUCACUAUCUCCCUGACAUAUAACCUCGCAUAAUCUUCAGCCAAAUAAGUAGUCCUGAAUGGAAGAAAAUGGGUCGAUUUCGUCAGCCUAUCUACAAUAACCCAUAUAGAGUCAUACUUCCGUUGAGUGCGAGGUAAGCCUGUAAUGAAGUCCAUUAAUCAUCUCCCAUUUCCAAGUCGGGAUCUCUAUCUCCUGUAAUAAUCCACCAGGUUUUUGAUGUUCGAUCUUGACUUGUUGACAAUUUGGGCACUGAUCAACAAACUCCGCUAUGUCCUUUUUCAUGCCAUCCCACCAAUAUAAGCAUCUGAGGUCAUGAUACAUUUUUGUUGACCCUGGGUGAAUAGAAUAACGGGCAGAGUGUGCCUCUCCCAUAACCUGCCGUCGUAGCCCCGCAGUAUCGGGUACACACAAUCUGCCUUCAUAUCGUAACACUCCUUCAGGUGUAACCUUAAAUGGGGCCUUUUCCUUUUGUAGAGCUGCAUCUCUAUACUGUGUCAGAAUAGGGUCCUUGUAUUUGUGUCUCUUUACCUCAUCUAUGAUUGAGGACUCAGCAAUCUCUCGAAUAGAAACUCCACUAUCUUCCGAAUUAGCUAGACGGACUCCAAGGCUGGAUAGCCGCUGAAUCUCCCGAACCAUAUCCCUCCCUUCUGUUUGUACAUCUGUCAAGCUACCCAUGGACUUACGGCUAAGAGCAUCUACUACAACAUUCGCUUUCCCUGGAUGAUAUAAAAUAUCAACAUCAUAAUCCUUUAGCAACUCUAACCACCGCAUCUGUCGUAAGUUCAGCUCCUUCUUUUUAAAGAUAUAUUGGAGACUCUUAUGAUCUGUAUAGAUGUCCACAUGGACACCAUAUAAAUAAUGUCUCCAUAUCUUCAAGGCAUGAACCACGACCGCUAACUCUAGAUCGUGAGUAGGAUAGUUCUUUUCAUGCUUCCUAAGUUGUCGGGAGGCAUAGGCUAUAAACUUUGCCAUGCUGCAUCAAUACACAUCCUAGCCCAACACCCGAAGCAUCACAAUAAAUAACAUAGCCGUCUGGUCCCUCCGGAAGAGUUAGGACUGGAGCUGUAGUCAAUUUGUCUUUCAAUAGCUGGAAGCUUCACUCACAAGCAUCUGUCCACUAGAACUUGGCUGCCUUUUGAGUUAGCCUUGUCAAAGGCGCUGAAAUUGAGGCAAACUUUUCUACGAAUCUCCUGUAAUAUCCUGCUAACCCCAAAAAGCUGCGUACCUCAGUAGGUGUCGUAGGUAUGGGCCAAGUCUUUACUUCCUCAAUCUUCUGCGUGUCUACCCGAAUACCAUCAGCUCCAAUAAUAUGCCACAAGAAUGCCACUGAAGUCAACCAGAACUCGCACUUAGAAAAUUUAGCAUACAACUUUUGGUGCUGAAGCACCCUAAGUACCGUCCUUAAAUGAUCUGCAUGCUCCUCUUUUGAACGUGAAUAGACCAGAAUAUCAUCUAUAAAUACAAUAACAAACAUAUCAAGGAAUGACUUAAAUACUCGAUUCAUUAAAUCCAUGAACACCGCUGGAGCAUUAGUCAGCCCAAAAGACAGCACUCUAAACUCAUAAUGCCCAUAUCGGGUCCGGAAUGUCGUCUUUGGAAUAUCUGCCACCCUUACCCGCACCUGAUGAUAACCUGACCGCAAGUCUAUCUUUGAAAGACACUUUGCACCCUGCAACUGGUCAAAUAGAUCGUCAAUCCUUGGGAGGGGAUACCUGUUCUUUAUUGUUACUUUGUUCAACUGCCUAUAAUCAAUGCACAUCCGCAGCGACCCAUCCUUCUUCCUCACAAACAGUAUCGGUGCUCCCCAAGGUGACGUACUAGGCCUGAUGAAGCCCUUUUCUAGCAAAUCCCUCAAUUGCUCUUUCAAUUCUUUCAACUCAACAGGUGCCAUUCUAUAAGGAGGUAUAGAUAUAGGCUGGGUAUCUGGCAGAACAUCUACAGUAAACUCUAUCUCUCGUUCUGGAGGAAGGCCUGGAAGUUCCUCGGAGAAUACAUCGGGAAAUUCAUUAAUUACCGGGACUGAUUGAAGAGUCGGUGCCUCUGUCUUUAUGUCAUGCACCCGAAUCAGAUGGUAAAUAUAGCCUUUUCUAACCAUCUUCCCGGCCUUGAGGUAUGAAAUGAACUUACCUUUCGGUGAUACUAUACUUCCCUUCCACUCUAUAAUCGGUUCCCCUGGAAAUUGAAAUCGAACUAUCUUUCCUCUGCAAUCAACAUUAGCAUAACAAGCAGCCAACCAAUCCAUGCCCAUGAUAAUAUCAAACUCAAUCAUAUUUAACUCUAUUAGAUCUGCUACGGUACGACGACUAUAUAUAACUACUGAACAAUUCCUAUAUACUCGCGUAGCUAUGACAAAAUCUCCUACAAGUGUAGCUACCUCAAAUGGUUCUAUCAACUCAGACUCUAUUCCGAUCCUACUAGCAACAAAGGGAGAUAUAUAUAAUAAGGUGGAACUUGGUCUAUCAAUGCAUACACACUUCGGGAGAAUAGUGAUAAUAUACAUGUGAUCACAUUAGGUGACGCCUCCUAAUCUUGCCUAUUAGUCAAAGCAUAUAUAAGGUUUGAGGGACCGCUAGAACUGGAAGCUCCACCAUGUCCUCUAUCACGGCCUGCUGGCGCCUGAAUACCCUACCCCGUAGGGCGCAUAGCCACAGAAGAAGAUGAACAAGCAACGGACCCUGUAGGCUGUGCCAUACCACCUGCACUACCUCUAAGGUGACACUCCCUCAUAGUAUGGCCCUGACGGCCGCAAGAAAAACACGCACCUGUAGCCCAACGACAUUCCCCAGGAUGGGACUUACCACAAUGAGAACACCGAGGCAAAGGUGGCCUCGACUGGCUCAAACCCUUGCCCAUCUGUGACCCUGACACCCUAGAGCUCUGACCAGCUCCCGAAUAUCCCAUACGAUCAAACCCCCUACCCAUGAAACGUGGGGGUGCACUCUGUGCUGGCUGGGAAGAAAAUCUAACAUGCUGCUGAGACUGCCCGCUUUGAAACUCGUCAGGAUAACCUGCUGAUCUAGCCCUCUUAUGUUGGCCUCUAUUAUAAUCUCUAUCUGGCUGACGUCCCCAGUGCCGAUCCUCUACCCCCUGUGCACAUGCCUGCACCCGAGCAAUGUCCACACCUGGCUGAAGAGUCACUGCCAUACAACCGUCAAUCAGAUAACGAUCCAAUCCUAUCACAUAACGAUGUACCCUGUCUGCCAUAUCAGCCACAAUAGUAGGCGCAUGCCUAGCCAAUAAAUCAAACUCGAGGCAGGAAGUGGCCCUGAAAAGCCUCCACAAAUUCAUCCCAUACCGCUGGAGGAGCACCCUCACCCCUAGAUAACUCCCAAGACUCAUACCAAUUAAUAGCUACAUCUCGCAAACGAUACGUAGCCAACUCAACAGACUCGGUCUCCGAAGCCGUGAUUAUCCUCAAUGUACGCGGCAUCUGAUGAAUAAACUCUUGCGGAUCAUCCUGGGGCCUUGACCCAAAGAACUCUGGAGGAUUACAACUUAAGAAGUUACGAGCCCUUAAGCUAUCAGAUCUGUCCGCAUGAUCAACUCCUAGUCCAUGCCUGCGAGCCUGAUCUGCCACUAAUCUAGUCAGCAAUUGAACCGCAUCUCUCAUGGCCCUAUCCUCCGCCCCUGACUGAGGAGCUGGAGGUUCAGAUGUUGGGGCCUUGGGGGCUGGUGGUAUCCCCUGAACUGGAGCUGCUGCUGCUCUUAGCUCUUCUGGCGGUGGGGGUGAAGCAGAGCUCUCCGACUGGAGCUUAAUACCAGGCAUAGACUGGGCACGGGCCCUACUAACUCUCCGGGUCUCAGUAGUACCUUCUGCUACCAAUUUUCCCUUCUGGGCGGCUGUCGCUUUCUUUGGAGGCAUAGCUGAAAACACAUGGAUUCGUUAGAAAGGGAUUAUCCUGUUAAUAUAGCUCUAUCGCACGAUCUAGAAUAAGAAGAAAGAAUGACAUCCUAAAUGUCCUGUAGCUUCCUGUUUAUAGAUGUGGUGCACAACACACCGAUAAACAAGACUCUACUAGACACGGUCUGUAGACACUUCCGAGGAAGAACCGCUCUGAUACCACUCUUUGUCACGACCCAACCCGAUGGGCCGUGACUAGUGCCCGUUUUGGACACCCACAUAUAAACCUGCUAAGUAUAACAACUGAAACUAAGACAAUAUGGAAUUUAAUCAAAUCAAGCCAACCCCAACGUCAUAUAUAUAUAAGAGGACCUGUCUCAUAAGGAGUCAUAACCAUUCAACCAUAACAGCAUACGCGAGCCGACAAGGCCACCACUACACAAUACACGAUGAUGUACGCAGCCGACAAGGCUGCCCCUGUACAAGCGGACAUCCCAAACAAACCAUGUCCAGACCAUUAUCUAAAACAUAUAUAUAUAACCCACAUAAUGUCCACAGACCUCUAAGAGUACAUUAGUGAAACUCGACGGGACAGGGCCCCGCCAUACCCAUAGACGAGCUAAAGACUACACAAAAGUUAUGUACCAAAACGACUGGGCUCCGGAACAGUGGAGCUCUCCCAAUCAGCAGAGUAGAUAUCCUAGGUGGGAGGAUCACCGAACUGUGCGUCUACACCUGCGGGCAUGAAACGCAGCCCCCCGAGGAAAGGGUGGUCAGUACGGACAAUGUACAGAGUAUGUAAAGCAUAAGGUAAAGAUGAAAGGAUACUAAUAUGGCAAGUCGAAACAAAAUAUUGCUACACAUAUACCCUUUAAGUGAAAAUCAUGCAUAUGUUUAACAUUUAAGGUGCCCAGCUUCCCUAGUAAGGGGCUCGGCAAAAUAAUCAUCACGUCAUCUCCGUCAUCAUCAUCAUCAUAACCAUCCUCAUCACCAAUCAUAUAUAUAAUAUACAUACCCAGCCCUCUAGUGAGGAACUCGGUGACAUAUGCAAGAAACUCCGCACGAAUAUUACCCGGCCCGGGACUCGGUGAAAUGAUAAAUGACUCUAUGCACGAGCAGAAUAUUAUGAGCAACCAUAUGCAAUUAAAAUCAUUUCUUAUAACUCAAUAGAACAAUCAACGUGAACCAGCAAGGAGUAUUACCAAAGAUUAAUGUUUUAUCAAGAUUAUGAACCUUUAA